Molecule: long non-coding RNA, 1644 nt
Organism: Cucumis melo (muskmelon)
Lineage: Eukaryota; Viridiplantae; Streptophyta; Magnoliopsida; Cucurbitales; Cucurbitaceae
Exons: 2
Source: RefSeq, a predicted model, not a curated record
AAGGAAUUAAGAGGUGAGAUUUACAUUUACUGAAAGUUAACUCAUUUUUAAACAAACUUUAUGAAGAACGUUGGAGCAAAUUCGGAUUUUCAUUUGGUGCUUUUUGAUGAAGAAAACAGGGCAGUUGGUUUUCACUCGAAAUCAGGAGGUCUCUGGUUUUUCUUGUAUUUCAGAGUGUAUCGGUGGAGUUAGAAUUUCUAUUUGGUAUGGUUGGAAAGCUUAUUCAAUUUACUACAACUUUCAUGAAGACAUUGUAAACCAAAAACGACUAAACAUUGGUUAAAUUGUAGGAACAAGUUAAAGAGGUCGUGUGCGCGCGAUUCUGGAAGUGGUUCUGUUUUGAGGGUUAUAUGUGUUUAUGCACGGGGAAUCAGAUUUAUAUGUGUUUAUGCACUGGAAAUUUUAGAAUUUUUGAAAUAGGAUUUUAUUUCUUAAGCUUUGUUUUCGUGAGCGUCAUCUUUGGUGCGACAUGUUAUGUAUAUCUUUAGGAAAUCAGAAUGUUUAGGGUUUUAAUACUCGGUUGGGUUGUUGGCAGGCCGAGAAGAAUUAAACCGAGCUUAUAGACCAAGGAUCUAGCCCAAGACUGUGAGUGACAAAACCAACUUUGAAAUAUUUUCCAUAACUGUUAUUAUGAUUGAAUGCGAUAAAUGUUUAUUUACGAAGCCAUGAAAGGUAUUUGAAUUUCAUGACUAUUUUCAAGUAUACAUUUGAAGACUAGAUUUCUUAAAGAAAUUUAUGCUAGCACGUAGAUAUUAAAUGUUUGGAAAGUAUUUAAACCACAAUAUUUUAAGCAAAGCAUGAAUUAGUAUGAAGUUUUGUUUUAAGAACUACAAUUUUCCACGAAAGAGCUGAGUAAAGUUCGAGCUUUGUGUAAAAUUUAUAAGCAGGCAUGUUUUAAUAUUUUAUGAUGAUUUAUGGAAUUUUCAUUAACUACAUGACUGAGAUCUUGAGCCUGAGGCUAGAGAUUACCGUGUGCACACUGGUUAGAUUUCGUUGUUGACGUUGAGUGUACUCCGUAACAACGAUGCUGUCGUGAGUGCUGGGCGGGCCCCACUACGACAAAGACGAUGGGAGUGUUGGGCGGGCCCCACUACAUCGUAGUGCUUGUAAACGUUGUUGUACUAGGUGUACCCUACACAACGUAGAUUCAUCAUGUUAGUUAAAAUGCUUCGAUAUACUUGAUAUGCCUUGCUAGAUUUCAAUGAUGAACAUGCUGAGUAUUUAAGGAAGCUAUUCUUACUAUUACACAUUUACAUUUACUACUUGUAUAAACAGAUUUAUAUGUGUAAAGUUUUCACGUGCUCUUAUCUUUAAUUCAUAGUUUUAAACUGAGUCACUCACUGAGCUCCAUAGCUCACCCUUUCCAAAAUGUUUUACCCAUUUUCCAGGUAGAGAUCGACUUCCCGGUGCCUGAUAGACUGCCUUAGUCUGCGGAAGCUUCAUUAUCGAUUGCCAGUACGUGUUUUUAGUUGGGCAUAAAGUCUGUUGUGUUGUGAUGUAUUCACACCCUUGUAUGUUAUAGAUACUCCACAGUUUGUAUAAGCUUUAGGAGCUGUAGUUGUGUAAAUUUUGUUGGUUAUAUUUUGAUUAAGGUGUCUUUAGGUUUACUCGUGAAAUCGGUAAAUUUUGAGGUACACUUCAUGU